Molecule: ribosomal RNA, 497 nt
Filed under: uncultured bacterium
Lineage: Bacteria
Description: partial 16S ribosomal RNA
Rfam family: Bacterial small subunit ribosomal RNA
Source: RNAcentral
GAUGAACGCUGGCGGCGUGCCUAAUACAUGCGAGUCGAGCGAACAGACGAGGAGCUUGCUCCUCUGACGUUAGCGGCGGACGGGUGAGUAACACGUGGAUAACCUACCUAUAAGACUGGGAUAACUUCGGGAAACCGGAGCUAAUACCGGAUAAUAUAUUGAACCGCAUGGUUCAAUAGUGAAAGACGGUUUUGCUGUCACUUAUAGAUGGAUCCGCGCCGCAUUAGCUAGUUGGUAAGGUAACGGCUUACCAAGGCAACGAUGCGUAGCCGACCUGAGAGGGUGAUCGGCCACACUGGAACUGAGACACGGUCCAGACUCCUACGGGGGGCAGCAGUAGGGAAUCUUCCGCAAUGGGCGAAAGCCUGACGGAGCAACGCCGCGUGAGUGAUGAAGGUCUUCGGAUCGUAAAGCUCUGUUAUUAGGGAAGAACAAAUGUGUAAGUAACUAUGCACGUCUUGACGGUACCUAAUCAGAAAGCCACGGCUAACUACGUG